RNAcentral lists this ribosomal RNA (292 nucleotides) under uncultured Alphaproteobacteria bacterium. Its description in RNAcentral is "partial 16S ribosomal RNA". Lineage: Bacteria; Pseudomonadati; Pseudomonadota; Alphaproteobacteria. The record is from RNAcentral.
GGACUACCAGGGUAUCUAAUCCUGUUUGAUCCCCACGCUGUCGCGCAUGAGCGUCAGUAACGGGCCAGUGAGCCGCCUUCGCCACCGGUGUUCUUCCCAAUAUCUACGAAUUUCACCUCUACACUGGGAAUUCCACUCACCUCUCCCGUACUCCAGCCUUACAGUUUCAAAGGCAGUUCCAGAGUUGAGCUCUGGGCUUUCACCCCUGACUUGAAAGGCCGCCUGCGCGCGCUUUACGCCCAGUAAUUCCGAACAACGCUAGCCCCCUUCGUAUUACCGCGGCUGCUGGCAC